UUUUAUGAGAGUUUGAUCCUGGCUCAGGACGAACGCUGGCGGCGUGCCUAAUACAUGCAAGUCGAACGCUUCUUUUUCCACCGGAGCUUGCUCCACCGGAAAAAGAAGAGUGGCGAACGGGUGAGUAACACGUGGGUAACCUGCCCAUCAGAAGGGGAUAACACUUGGAAACAGGUGCUAAUACCGUAUAACAAUCAAAACCGCAUGGUUUUGAUUUGAAAGGCGCUUUCGGGUGUCGCUGAUGGAUGGACCCGCGGUGCAUUAGCUAGUUGGUGAGGUAACGGCUCACCAAGGCC
This 296-nucleotide ribosomal RNA is filed under the name Enterococcus faecium. RNAcentral's name for it is "partial 16S ribosomal RNA". It matches the Rfam family "Bacterial small subunit ribosomal RNA", at positions 1 to 275 of the family's 1533-position model. The record is from RNAcentral. Lineage: Bacteria; Bacillati; Bacillota; Bacilli; Lactobacillales; Enterococcaceae.